UAGUGAAAUUGAUACGUGUGUCUUCACCUCUGAACUAUCAAUAUUAUGUUUCAAAUCUUUGAUUCGAUUCAUUCUUUUGCUUCAGAGUGCAGAUACACGCAUCUCUUUUCCUA
This 113-nucleotide microRNA precursor is filed under the name Medicago truncatula (barrel medic). RNAcentral describes it as "miR5213 stem-loop (mtr-MIR5213)". The record is from miRBase by way of RNAcentral. Lineage: Eukaryota; Viridiplantae; Streptophyta; Magnoliopsida; Fabales; Fabaceae.